This 28-nucleotide non-coding RNA is filed under the name Bombyx mori (domestic silkworm). Lineage: Eukaryota; Metazoa; Arthropoda; Insecta; Lepidoptera; Bombycidae. The record is from RNAcentral.
UCUCGUACGCCGUGGUCCACAGGGGCUC